This is a non-coding RNA of Elusimicrobia bacterium GWB2_63_22, 79 nucleotides long. NCBI's taxonomy places the organism in Bacteria, Pseudomonadati, Elusimicrobiota. The record is from Rfam.
UACCGAUAAUAGCAAAGCCGGCCAAAGCCGGCGGCGCAAAGCUGUGACCCGUUAUGUUGCCGGGCGUCAGGCUGCCGAA